GCGGCUCCCCGCGAGAUCCCUUUUCUGGCCAGCCCCGCCGGCCUCGGAAGGGGCUCCCGCCAUGGACGGGCUGCGGACUAGCACGGGGCUGUUGAGGCGCGGGAGGUUGAGACGCCGGCGCCAGCCGCAGCCACACAGCGGGUCGGUCCUGGCCCUGCCCCUGAGGCCCAGGAAGAUCCGAAGGCAGCUUAGGAGAAGCGUGGCGUCCCGCAUGGCCGCACUGAGGGCCCAGACGCUGCCCAGCGAGGACUCGGAGGACUCGAGGGUGGAGUCGACGGUCGACGAUCCGGGGGACCCGCUGCCUGGUGGGGCGGCGGCCAUCCCCGAUGCGGCCCGGCGGGAGCCGUAUGGCCACCUGGGGCCUGCAGAGCUGCUGGAGGCCUCCCCCGCGGCCCGCUCCCUCCAGACACCCCGCUCCCUGGUGGAGGCGCAGACCCCGCCGGCCCGCCUGGUGGAGGCGCACACUCCGCCGGCCCGCCUGGUGCCGGCUUCCGCGCCGCCCGCGCGCCUGGUGGAGGUGCCCGCCGCGCCGGCCCGCGUGGUAGAAACCUCGGCCCUGCUAUGCAAUGCCCAGCACUUGGCGGCCGCCCCUCUGUCCGUAGCCCCUGCCACGCUGUCGGGGCCGCAGGUGGACAGCACGGGCGGGGAGCUGGCCUGGGACUCCCCGCUGCAGCGCGUCCUGGCCGAGCUGAACCGCAUCCCCAGCAGCCGGCGGCGGGCAGCGCGCCUCUUCGAGUGGCUCAUCUCGCCCAUGCCGCCCGACCAUUUCUACCGGCGCCUGUGGGAGCGGGAGGCGGUGCUGGUGCGGCGGCAGGACCACGCCUACUACCAGGGGCUUUUCUCCACCGCAGACCUGGACUCCAUGCUGCGCCACGAGGAGGUGCAGUUCGGGCAGCACCUGGACGCCGCUCGCUACGUAAACGGGCGGCGCGAGACCCUGAACCCGCCCGGCCGCGCGCUGCCCGCCGCCGCCUGGUCCCUGUACCAGGCCGGCUGCUCCCUGCGCCUCCUCUGUCCGCAGGCCUUCUCGACCACCGUGUGGCAGUUUUUGGCUGUGCUCCAGGAGCAGUUUGGAAGCAUGGCAGGCUCCAACAUUUACCUCACGCCCCCCAACUCGCAGGGCUUUGCCCCCCACUACGACGACAUCGAGGCUUUUGUGCUGCAGCUGGAAGGUAGGAAACUCUGGCGCGUGUACCGACCCCGGGUCCCGACGGAGGAGCUGGCCCUGACAUCCAGUCCCAACUUCAGCCAGGACGACCUCGGUGAGCCGGUGCUGCAGACCGUGCUGGAACCCGGAGAUUUGCUCUAUUUUCCUCGGGGCUUCAUUCACCAAGCCGAAUGCCAGGAUGGGGUGCACUCUCUGCACCUCACCUUGUCCACGUACCAGCGCAAUACCUGGGGCGACUUCCUGGAGGCCGUACUGCCUCUGGCAGUGCAGGCUGCAAUGGAAGAAAAUGUGGAAUUCCGAAGGGGUCUCCCCCGAGACUUCAUGGAUUACAUGGGGGCCCAGCACUCGGAUUCUAAGGAUCCACGAAGAACGGCUUUUAUGGAGAAGGUGCGAGUCCUGGUUGCCCGCUUGGGACACUUUGCUCCUGUCGAUGCUGUGGCUGACCAGCGAGCCAAAGACUUCAUCCACGACUCUCUGCCCCCUGUGCUGACUGAUAGGGAGAGGGCACUAAGUGUUUAUGGGCUCCCAAUUCGCUGGGAGGCUGGCGAACCUGUGAACGUGGGGGCCCAGUUGACAACGGAAACAGAAGUGCACAUGCUGCAGGAUGGGAUAGCUCGGCUGGUGGGUGAGGGAGGCCAUUUGUUUCUCUAUUAUACAGUGGAGAACUCCCGUGUUUAUCAUUUGGAAGAGCCCAAGUGCUUGGAGAUAUACCCUCAGCAAGCUGAUGCCAUGGAACUCUUGCUGCGCUCCUACCCAGAGUUUGUGAGAGUAGGGGACCUGCCCUGUGACACUGUGGAGGACCAGCUUUCCUUAGCAACCAUGUUAUAUGACAAGGGGCUGCUGCUCACCAAGAUGCCUCUAACCUGAACUAGUUUCUUGUUGAUUGCUGGAAGCAAGACAGUGGUGAUUCUCUUAACUACCAUUACCACCUUUUUGGCAGGGGGCUGGGGGAUGGGUGGGGGGACUCAUGUUCUUACCUUGAGAACCAUUUACCUUUAUGACUGCUUACAUUUACCUUUAUGACUGCUUUAAUGUCACAAAUUUCAGAUGGCUUUCUAGGAAUCACCACUUCAUCUAGGCACAAAAGCAAAAGCAGAAGUUGGAGGUGGAAAAAGGAGCUCUUUCUGCAGAAGUAACUUUGAUCCCUGAUUAUUUCAGAGCACCAGCCUCAUCAUCACCCCCAGGCUUCAGUGUACUGUGUAGCACUUGCUGUGUCAUUGUGCUUGAGACAUCAGAUGUUUUUAUUUGGGAUUUGCAUCCUUCAUUUGAGUUCUCUUUCCUCAGUUUGGGGGGAGGGUUGGGUUGGAGGAAUCUUCCCCAAACCUGGCAAGUGACUGUUCUCAUGGUUGGUGGAAGAGAGCCUGGUGUACCAGAGAGAGCACAGGACUUGGAGCCAGAAGACCUGGGUUUGGGGUGGUGGCUGGUAGGCAGCUGACUGAAUGAGCUGAGGCUGCUGCUACGCCUGGGCACACAGAUUUUGUCACAAGUGGCAGGGAGUUACUCACCCUUCAAAAGGACACUGUGCAUGAUGUCCCGGGCGAGGGGAUUAUGCGACUGUAUGACGUACUGGCAUAGUGCUGCUGCGAUCCGCACAUUGGCACUUUUGUCACAAAGAGCAGCCUCCAGAGCGGGCUGUAGAACCUCUGGCAAGUCCUGGACAGAUGGGGCUUUCCCAGUCUCCUUGUCUGUGAUCAAAAGAGAACCAGGAGUCUUUUUAGAUCGGAGCAGUCAGACUCACAAGCCUCACAGACCACACAAAGCACCAAUCUUCGAAGGAUCUAGGAUGGGAGCACGGUUUGCCAACAGGGCAGCACCAGGCAUUCCUUCUGGCCAGAGUUCUCCAGGCCCUUCGGACAGCGUCCACAGAGUCUUCUGGGGACAUGUGCUGUGUUCCACAGGACUGUUUCAGUAGCUCCAGAUCGCUAGUGGAAGUAAGCUCAUCCCGGAUGUGGCUCCAGUCAUAUUGCUGGCGAAGAAAUCUCUGCCACUUGUUGGGGGAUACCCCAGGCCUCAGAGGACGUUUGCUCUGGAUCCAUCGGGCGGUGCGCUUGUUCAGCUUUUCCAGCACGAUGGCUUCCCAGGCUCUGGCCUCCUUCUCAGGGGGUGGCAGCCAGGCUUCCCUCUCCUCCAGGUUCAUGUCUGGAGAAAGUGACAGACCUGGCAUGUCUGGAUCCCUGCAGGAAUGAGGGAUGAGAGGGCAAGAUUCUUCCUGGCCCACACUUGCCAGCUUGGAUUCCUUUGGCCGCUUCUUAAGAUUGGCAGACCUUUCUGUCUUCACAGCCUGGGAGGUGACCCUUGCUGAGGGACCUGAAGAAUGCAAGGACUUGAGGCCAGUGGGUUUCUCGCAUCGGGCCCUGCUGGUCUGGGGAGGCUGGAUGGUGUGGCCUGCCUUGUAGAGAUGGUCAAAGUUAUACUGGCUGUAAGGGGUGCUGGGAAGCCCUCGCUGCCAUACCACCUCCUGAGAGAAGGUGAGGUUUGUAGCGGCCUUUUUCAAAUACUGGUUCUUCAGGUGUGCACAGCGAUGUGGGCUAAAGUGGAAGACUGGAGGUACACUGGACACCGAGGCACACUCCUCGUGUCCUGGUUUUGAGUGGGAAAAAUUCAUGCCCCAUCCCAGCCGUGGGGGGAGUGACUGAUGGAAAUGGUGGGAAAGAAGUGUCUUUCCCUGUUGGGUUCUGGUCAUUGUUUCCCAGCAAAAGCUUCCUUCCACACUGCCUGGUCCAGAUGCAGGGCUGGAGGUAUGACCAGAUACCUGUUGAGGGGAUGGGAGGAACUGCUGAGAGCUCUAGGUCAGUAGAAAUCGGUAGCCCAUAGCAGUCCAGAAAGGAAAUAAAUGGGAAGACGGGGGAGCGGGGGGAAGCCACGUGAGUUAAAAGGACAAAAGAGGGGCGCCUGGGUGGCUCAGUCGGUUAAGCGUCUGCCU
This is a non-coding RNA of Leptonychotes weddellii (Weddell seal), 4091 nucleotides long. Lineage: Eukaryota; Metazoa; Chordata; Mammalia; Carnivora; Phocidae. The record is from RefSeq and is a predicted model, not a curated record.